Chelonia mydas (Green sea turtle) is the source of this 5969-nucleotide long non-coding RNA. RefSeq lists it as uncharacterized. Lineage: Eukaryota; Metazoa; Chordata; Testudines; Cheloniidae. The transcript has 2 exons. The record is from RefSeq and is a predicted model, not a curated record.
GAGUGGACUAGAACACCUCUUGAGGUCCCUUCCAGUCCUAUGAUUCUAUGAUAUAAGCAUAUUUUAAAAUGUUAAACAGGGAGGGGGAUGCAUUGCAACGUAUAAAUGUUAUAUGGGUCAGCAGGUGGUCCUAGAUUGAGCUGCAGAGCAGAAUUUUAAUCCAGAAAUAUUACUGGACUACAGGGGAUGAUGGUAUGUUCUAGAAAUAAAGGUGGUAAUAUGGUGUAGUGGGUUUUGGUUUUUGAAGUGUGAUGUUCUUGCAAAAUUUGAAGCUUUAAGUAUUCAAUAUCCUGCAGAUAGUUCUGUUGCCUGAGUGUUGUCUUGUUUCUUGGAGAUGUGGGCUUUUCAGAGCAGUGUUAUGAUGAAGUCAUAUUAAUAACUCCCUUGUAAGACUACUUCCAUUAUAAGCUUUACAAAAUUGACCUUUUUACCUAUUAGGCUUCAGUAAGAACUGAAAACAAGGGUGUAGGUCUUUUUUACAAAGAUGGAGUUUAAUCUUUGUGCUAACUUCCAUGAGGUCUGGUGCUCAUUUACAUACACUGAUGGGAGAAGCUCUUCCAUUGUUGUAGGUAGUGUCUUCACGAAGUGCUACAGCGGUGUAAGUGUAGACGUACCCUAAAAAAGGUUUGAAAUGUGGAGGGCUUUCCAAGCUUAUAAGCACCAGAAGUUGUGUUGGAGAGAGAGGCUUAAUACUUCCCUGUGGCCUGUGAUAUGGAUCUGCUUUUGGCGGAUACAAGUUUACAGGCCCAAGGGCUUCAGAGAAAUUAAACUCCCUGCCAUCAAAAUUUUUAACUAAAGUUGUGAGCAAAGUCAUUUCAGCUGUAUUUGACUUAAAUGAGCAUGGCGGUGGGGGGGAGAAUGUUUUUUGCAUUUUAAAAAGAAAACUAGGGAAAACAAGAACCUAAGUUUGAGAAUAUUGUCCUUUUAAAAUCGUAACAGAAUAUUAGUUACAAAAAAAAAAAUUAAAAACCUUCAUCUAUUAACUGCACAUUUCCUGCAUUUGUAACCUGAUAUUCCCUGCCACCUGGAAAUUAAAUACCUUCACCUAAUCCAUAUGUAUUUCUGUAAGUCACAAUUUACUACUUCAGUAUUCAUAUUCUAUAUACUAAUAGGUUAAUCACUCCCAACAUACAAGCUAGAAGUUCUGCUCUCCUUUAUUCUGCGAUCCUACUUCUAGACCAUGCAUGAGGGGUAGAGACAAUCAGCAUCUCAGACUGAGAUAGAGAACUCUAAGCUUGGUGUUAUUAGAAAAAUUGCAUUGCUCUAACUAGAUGUAAUUACAUUGAUUUAAACUCCUAAUAUAGAUGCAUUUACACCUGCUUAAGCCUUCCUUAGAUAUAUUGAUUUUUAAAUUAACUCUUUUUUUAGUACAAACAAGACCUCUGUCUUGAUGAUAUUGUAAUAUUGGCCAGAAACCAAAGUGUAUGAGCUUCUCUGAUGGUCUAGAGAAGUCUUUUAACCAGUCCAUUCUAGUCAUGCUGUCUAUAGACCCCAGAAUACGGCAUACAGUCAGGUAGGGACUUUACUUCAGCUCUCUUCUCCAUGGAGGGAAGAGGAUUUACAGUAGGAGGCCCAGCAUAAGUCUCUUUGUACCUCAGGCAACAAUCAUCUGCCAGAUUCCACUUGCCCUCCUUCCCUCAGGUCAGUUAACAUGUCAUAAAAUGUAAUCUGAGGGCAUUAAAAUAUAUCCAGUGCAUCUCCUGUUCCCUUGCCCACUCAGCCUGGGUCAUGAAUGUUGCACCAGCAGCUGACUAUCAGCAAUCAGCUGUGCAGUGUCUGAUGACAAUUAUGGGCUCAGGACAGAAGAUACAAGUAUCUUACCCUUUAUCUGCCAUGACACUGUCGCCACUAGCCCUUUGUACCUGAUACUGGGCUCAAGAGUUAUAUUAGACAACUAAAAUAUACUUCUGAAGUUCAUGUGCUUAGUUUUAUGUGGUACUUGGUCAGUGUCUCUAACUUGAAGUUCAGUGAGGAUACAGGCAGAGUUAAAAUUGGUAUUGAAACUUUAGCUGAACAUUUCCUGUUCAAAGUGUUUAGAUUUUCUGAAACUAUAUAAUCCUUGAAUGUUGUAAAAGGACAUCAGACAACUCAACCAUAUUUCUAAAUUCACUCUUUUGGUCUCAGAAUAACAUCCGUACUAUAACAGAUUUUAGUUUGCUGUUUCUUCCAAUAAUUAGACGCACUUUAAAGUCUAUGGAGGUACUGAAAUAUUUUAGGGAUAAGUGUUAAUAUAAAGAGGGAGAGUUAAGGGAUAUGUUCUUCUCAGAACUCUUAAAUGAAACAGCUAUUUACCAAAAUCUGCUCCUAAAGGCAAGUAGCUUCCUGUGCCAAGAUGAUACAGAAGCUAAAAAGAAAAAAUUGUAAUUGUUGUAUCAAAACUGUUCUGCUACUGCUUACUCAUCCGUUAAAAAUUGUCACCAUCAGGAAGGGUUUUGACGGUGCCCUGCUGCUAUGUCAGUGUAACACAUGCUUCAGGCACUUGCUUCCAUGCUGCAUUCCAGGUCACUGAUCAAACUCAGUAGGCAGGACACUGGGAGCUACAUGACAAAUCUUUGUGAUUCACAGCUGGGCCCACAACUACGUAUCAUAGUAAAUGAGUCAGUUAAACAUCACUAGUUUAGCAAGCGUGAAAAAAAUUACCAUGAUAUCAUUCAUGAUUCUUCACAGGAUUUUACAGCAUAUGAGUUAUUUGCUGAAUUUCGAUAACAUGUUUUGAUAAGGAACAUUAUCUUAAAUAAUUAGUUAUUGGUCCUUACACAAGUUAAAGCUGCAAUAAUACUAGGUAUACUAAGGCAAAAUCAGCUAUCUGCAUGGCUUUUGUGCUGGCCUAAUUUUUCUGGGAAACAAAGGUUCUCAUAACAGAUGCUAUGAAAGCCAUCUAUGUGAACCAUUUUUCUGAUUUUAGCUGUAGUUUGAAGGAAUAAUGUUAACAUGGUCAGUGUAACUUCAUCAGCAUAGCUUUUGUGCCCAACAAUAUAUUUUUGGUAUAUCUCUCACACCUCACCAGAAAAGGAUGGACAGAACUAUUCUCAAUUUCAAAUGAAAGAGCUGUCUCCAAGAAGUCAAGGAAGCAAUCUUUGUCUUUAAACUUCAGUUCAAUUGUGUCUUGAGAAUUAAACCUCUUUGACUGUAUGAUUAAACUAUCUUUAAAAAUAUAUAUUUGUUAAAGCAUGUGGCAUGAAAAUAUUUCUACCAUAGCAACUUUGGCAAAGACUGAAAUUAUAUAAACUUGUAACUUGCUUAAACAGGACUAUACCUGUGACUUUUGGGUGCCUUUUUAGUCUUCAGUGUCUCCGAACAUUUUUAACAUUAUAACCUUAACAGAACAGCAGUUAAACUUAAAUUCUGAACUACAGUGUUGAAAAAUCCAAGCCACGUUUUUGAACUACAGACGUUAAACAAUGAGCUAUGAAAUCCUUAAGUGCACUCAGGAAGUAGGUGUCGAUUAAGAGUUUUGUAAAUAAUCCUUAUUUAUAUUAGAUCAGUAGUGUAAAAAUCCACCCUGCUUGAUGUUUGUGUCCUGUAUGGCAUACUUAAAUUCUGCAGAAUCUAAGGUGCUUCUUCAAGUGGAGUGCCCAGAGGGAUACUACUUCAGGCACACAUGCACCCUGUGUCUUGACUGGAGAUUUUUGGUAGCAGUGCCCAUUCGGACUGCACAUUUGUCCUACGCUUCCUUGUGCCCCCUACAGAGGUGCUAUAGGGCUCUUUGGGUGAACCACCCUCAAUUCCUUUUCAACAGCCUUCAGCCAGACAAGGAAUUUCAUGUGUGCCUGUUUUCUCUUUAGAGUUAAAAUAGUAUAUAGGGUUAGUUCUUUUGUACUUUAUAGUUGUUGGAAUGGAACAGUUCCCGUUUUCUCCCCCCUUCCCCUCUUCCCCCCCAUAUUUAGGGGUCUAAAUUUGUUUCUUGGAUCUGGGAUGCCAGGCUCCCUGGGUGUUAAAAGGUGUCUCCAAUGUCAAGAAGCCAUUCCCGUCAGCAAUGGGCAUUCUCCACAGAUAUGUUGCUUGGGAGACUCACAUAUUCCCAGCAAGUGCAAGAUUUGCACUUCGUUUAAGGGAAGAUCCCCUAAAAACAGAGGAAUUAAGUAUGCACUAUUGAUGACGGAGGAAGCCUUGUGACCAGCUUUGGGUCUGGGUACAGAGAACCCCCUGUCCAAGAGACCCUCUUCUUCUGUUAGUGUCCCUUCUACAAUGAGAUCAGUCACUGAGAGCUUCCAAGGUGAAAGCAGUGUCAAGAUCUCCAAUGCUCUCCAUGGGUGAAGUACCUAUAAUGCUGCCAGUGGUACUUAGAGCUUCCCACUCAAAGAUGGAGGGGGAUAAGAGGACCAGAGCAGAGUUCCUCAAAGAAGAUUCAGUACAGGAGACCUCAGGCCCGAAGAGGAGUGCUAUUGAGGCUCCGAAUACUUUAGGUAUCAUGAAGCAAUCUAAGACUUCAUCUAAGUCCCAUAUCUUGGUGGUAAAGGUAACGAAGACCACUACUGCCACCAUCAAAGGAGCGGCCUCAUUGGAGUUUGUGGUACCCUUGGUACUGGCACCACUGCCUCAAACAGCAGCAUCAGGAGGAACCUUGAGGCCCAUGCCAAGUUUUGUUGUGCUCCCAGUACUGCAGGAGGUCCAGAAUCUUAAAGACCUCAUGAUACUGAGGGAGCCUCCUUGCAACCUCCAGACACCUCUCCAUACCAAGAUCUGCUGGAUCACUGACUGCUCAUGUUGUAGUGAGAUCCACCACUUCUCCAGCUCUUACCAUUCAGGAAGACGGGUUGUCAUCUUCUGUACAAUACAUAAAUGAGCAUUUGGACUCAGAGCUUUCAGUUCAAGGCUUUCCAGUUUACUCCAAGGAGACAUGCAUCUCCUCUGCAAAUGCAAGAAAGGCAAGAUUACAAGACCUCUGCCUCUUAAAACUUGGGAUGACCAACAAUUGCUACCUCUCUCCCAGUGCUUAUGGUCCUCUUCCUUUGCCUUAUUGUGAACCAUGGGCAGUGUAUUGCCAGCUGUUUUGAGGGUACCCAGUGGAAUUUCAUAAAGAACAUAAGACCUUGUUCCCUGGUACCAUCCAUUCCUCCUCUCCACUCUGAAUUGGCAGCAGCAAGGAGGAGGCAGUAAUGCCGCCACCGCCACCAUCCUUAGCUGAUGACUUUUGGCAGUUCCAGGACCUGAUGAGGCAAGUCGCAGACACACUUCAAAUUCCUCUGGAAGAAGUCCAGGAUUCCUAUCACAUCCUAUCCUAUCCUAUCCCUUGACGUAUUCAUAGAAUCAUAGGACUGGAAGGGAUCUUGAGAGGUCUUCUAGUCUAGUCCUCUGCACUCAAGGCCAGACUAAAUAUUAUCUAGAUCAUCCCUGACAGGUAUUUGUCUAAUCUGUUCUUUAUAUUUAUAUACCUCCAUUUCAGUGUGGGUGGCAUUGCUGAUUAAAGAUGCUCUUCUUGAGCUAGCUAAGACCAGCUGCCAAACUCCAACAGCAAUCCGUUACAUGCAAGCAUGCUGAUUAAAAAAACAAAACAACAAAAAACCCUACAUUCUGGCCAGGGAUUCAAAAACUUUGUUUUCGCAUCCGGCACCAAAUUCUCUGGUUGUGGACACAGUUAAUGAAAGGGGAAGCGAGCAUAUUGAAAAAGCUACCCCACAUAACAAGGACCAGAAGUAUCUGGGAUCUUUUCGGUCAUAAUAACUAGUCUUCGUGGAUAUUACGUUUCAGGAUAACUAAUCACCUGGUGCUGGUAUCAAAAUAGGACUACCUGAACUAUGAGAACUUUAAUGCUUUUAUUGACCCUUUAUCCCAGAAAUAUCAGUUUAGUGCCAUAAUAAAGGAGGGUCAGCUCUUGAUGAAGACUUCUUUGCAGGCUUCACUUAAUGUCGCCAAUGUUGCAAUAAAAGAGAAGUUAGCAAGUCUUGGUCAGUGCAAAGAUUCGAUCCUGCUCAAUUUUCCACCUUCUAUAGGCCGUCUGAACUACUGGCUAAUAAGUCAAAUUUUUU